This 351-nucleotide ribosomal RNA is filed under the name Streptococcus anginosus. RNAcentral describes it as "bacterial SSU rRNA". It matches the Rfam family "Bacterial small subunit ribosomal RNA", at positions 32 to 364 of the family's 1533-position model. Lineage: Bacteria; Bacillati; Bacillota; Bacilli; Lactobacillales; Streptococcaceae. The record is from RNAcentral.
UGACGCUGGCGGCGUGCCUAAUACAUGCAAGUAGGACGCACAGUUUAUACCGUAGCUUGCUACACCAUAGACUGUGAGUUGCGAACGGGUGAGUAACGCGUAGGUAACCUGCCUAUUAGAGGGGGAUAACUAUUGGAAACGAUAGCUAAUACCGCAUAACAGUAUGUAACACAUGUUAGAUGCUUGAAAGAUGCAAUUGCAUCGCUAGUAGAUGGACCUGCGUUGUAUUAGCUAGUAGGUAGGGUAAUGGCCUACCUAGGCGACGAUACAUAGCCGACCUGAGAGGGUGAUCGGCCACACUGGGACUGAGACACGGCCCAGACUCCUACGGGAGGCAGCAAUCACUAGUAG